Molecule: ribosomal RNA, 371 nt
Filed under: uncultured organism
Description: bacterial SSU rRNA
Rfam family: Bacterial small subunit ribosomal RNA
Source: RNAcentral
CGUAGGGUGCAAGCGUUAAUCGGAAUUACUGGGCGUAAAGCGUGCGCAGGCGGUUUUGUAAGUCUGAUGUGAAAUCCCCGGGCUCAACCUGGGAAUUGCAUUGGAGACUGCAAGGCUAGAAUCUGGCAGAGGGGGGUAGAAUUCCACGUGUAGCAGUGAAAUGCGUAGAUAUGUGGAGGAACACCGAUGGCGAAGGCAGCCCCCUGGGUCAAGAUUGACGCUCAUGCACGAAAGCGUGGGGGAGCAAACAGGAUUAGAUACCCUGGUAGUCCACGCCCUAAACGAUGUCUACUAGUUGUCGGGUCUUAAUUGACUUGGUAACGCAGCUAACGCGUGAAGUAGACCGCCUGGGGAGUACGGUCGCAAGAUUA